Molecule: ribosomal RNA, 301 nt
Filed under: uncultured bacterium
Lineage: Bacteria
Description: partial 16S ribosomal RNA
Rfam family: Bacterial small subunit ribosomal RNA
Source: RNAcentral
CAGCAGCCGCGGUAAUACGAGGGGGGCAAGCGUUGUUCGGAAUUAUUGGGCGUAAAGGGUGCGUAGGCGGUCUGAUAAGUCUUAUGUGAAAUCUCUGGGCUCAACCCAGAGUCUGCAUGGGAAACUGUCAGGCUUGAGAAUGGGAGAGGUGAGUGGAAUUUCCGGUGUAGCGGUGAAAUGCGUAGAUAUCGGAAGGAACACCUGUGGCGAAAGCGGCUCACUGGACCAUUUCUGACGCUGAUGCACGAAAGCUAGGGGAGCAAACAGGAUUAGAUACCCCAGUAGUCCCUGUCUCUUAUAC